RNAcentral lists this non-coding RNA (23 nucleotides) under Arabidopsis thaliana (thale cress). Lineage: Eukaryota; Viridiplantae; Streptophyta; Magnoliopsida; Brassicales; Brassicaceae. The record is from RNAcentral.
CGCCGACGUCUCCGGACUCCCUA